UGGGAUCAAAGACAUGCACCAUCACCAC
Molecule: non-coding RNA, 28 nt
Filed under: Mus musculus (house mouse)
Lineage: Eukaryota; Metazoa; Chordata; Mammalia; Rodentia; Muridae
Source: RNAcentral